CAAUAGCGUAUAUUAAAGUUGUUGCGGUUAAAAGCUCGUAGUUGGAUUUCUGUCGAGGGCGGGCGGUCCGCACUAUGUGCGUGUAUCUUGUUCGGUCUUGGCAUCCUCUCGCAAGACUACUCUGCGCUUGAUUGCGUGGAUAGGAUUACGGGACUUUUACUUUGAGGAAAUUAGAGUGUUCACGGCAGGCUAUCGCCAGGAUACAUUAGCAUGGAAUAAUACUAUAGGAUCUUGAUCCUAUUUUGUUGGUUUCUAGGAGCAAGAUAAUGAUUAAUAGGGACAAUUGGGGGCAUUCGUAUCAACACGUCAGAGGUGGAAUUCUUGGAUUGUGUUGCGACGAACUACUGCGAAAGCAUUUGCCAAGGAUGUUUUCAUUGAUCAAGAACGAAAGUUAGGGGAUCGAAGACGAUCAGAUACCAU
Molecule: ribosomal RNA, 420 nt
Filed under: uncultured eukaryote
Lineage: Eukaryota
Description: SSU rRNA
Rfam family: Eukaryotic small subunit ribosomal RNA
Source: RNAcentral